Molecule: ribosomal RNA, 1441 nt
Filed under: Leuconostoc mesenteroides subsp. mesenteroides
Lineage: Bacteria; Bacillati; Bacillota; Bacilli; Lactobacillales; Lactobacillaceae
Description: bacterial SSU rRNA
Rfam family: Bacterial small subunit ribosomal RNA
Source: RNAcentral
UAGAGUUUGAUCAUGGCUCAGGAUGAUCGCUGGCGGCGUGCCUAAUACAUGCAAGUCGAACGCACAGCGAAAGGUGCUUGCACCUUUCAAGUGGGUGGCGAACGGGUGAGUAACACGUGGACAACCUGCCUCAAGGCUGGGGAUAACAUUUGGAAACAGAUGCUAAUACCGAAUAAAACUUAGUGUCGCAUGACACAAAGUUAAAAGGCGCUUCGGCGUCACCUAGAGAUGGAUCCGCGGUGCAUUAGUUAGUUGGUGGGGUAAAGGCCUACCAAGACAAUGAUGCAUAGCCGAGUUGAGAGACUGAUCGGCCACAUUGGGACUGAGACACGGCCCAAACUCCUACGGGAGGCUGCAGUAGGGAAUCUUCCACAAUGGGCGAAAGCCUGAUGGAGCAACGCCGCGUGUGUGAUGAAGGCUUUCGGGUCGUAAAGCACUGUUGUAUGGGAAGAACAGCUAGAAUAGGAAAUGAUUUUAGUUUGACGGUACCAUACCAGAAAGGGACGGCUAAAUACGUGCCAGCAGCCGCGGUAAUACGUAUGUCCCGAGCGUUAUCCGGAUUUAUUGGGCGUAAAGCGAGCGCAGACGGUUUAUUAAGUCUGAUGUGAAAGCCCGGAGCUCAACUCCGGAAUGGCAUUGGAAACUGGUUAACUUGAGUGCAGUAGAGGUAAGUGGAACUCCAUGUGUAGCGGUGGAAUGCGUAGAUAUAUGGAAGAACACCAGUGGCGAAGGCGGCUUACUGGACUGCAACUGACGUUGAGGCUCGAAAGUGUGGGUAGCAAACAGGAUUAGAUACCCUGGUAGUCCACACCGUAAACGAUGAACACUAGGUGUUAGGAGGUUUCCGCCUCUUAGUGCCGAAGCUAACGCAUUAAGUGUUCCGCCUGGGGAGUACGACCGCAAGGUUGAAACUCAAAGGAAUUGACGGGGACCCGCACAAGCGGUGGAGCAUGUGGUUUAAUUCGAAGCAACGCGAAGAACCUUACCAGGUCUUGACAUCCUUUGAAGCUUUUAGAGAUAGAAGUGUUCUCUUCGGAGACAAAGUGACAGGUGGUGCAUGGUCGUCGUCAGCUCGUGUCGUGAGAUGUUGGGUUAAGUCCCGCAACGAGCGCAACCCUUAUUGUUAGUUGCCAGCAUUCAGAUGGGCACUCUAGCGAGACUGCCGGUGACAAACCGGAGGAAGGCGGGGACGACGUCAGAUCAUCAUGCCCCUUAUGACCUGGGCUACACACGUGCUACAAUGGCGUAUACAACGAGUUGCCAGCCCGCGAGGGUGAGCUAAUCUCUUAAAGUACGUCUCAGUUCGGAUUGUAGUCUGCAACUCGACUACAUGAAGUCGGAAUCGCUAGUAAUCGCGGAUCAGCACGCCGCGGUGAAUACGUUCCCGGGUCUUGUACACACCGCCCGUCACACCAUGGGAGUUUGUAAUGCCCAAAGCCGG